RNAcentral lists this ribosomal RNA (253 nucleotides) under uncultured bacterium. RNAcentral describes it as "partial 16S ribosomal RNA". It matches the Rfam family "Bacterial small subunit ribosomal RNA", at positions 524 to 776 of the family's 1533-position model. The record is from RNAcentral.
UACGUAGGGGGCUAGCGUUGUCCGGAAUCAUUGGGCGUAAAGCGCGCGUAGGCGGCUCGAUCAGUCUGCUGUAAAAGUCAAAGGCUCAACCUUUGAAUGCCGGUGGAUACUGUCGGGCUAGAGUCCGGAAGAGGCGAGUGGAAUUCCUGGUGUAGCGGUGAAAUGCGCAGAUAUCGGGAGGAACACCAAUGGCGAAAGCAGGUAACUGGACUAUUACUGACACUCAACUGCGAAAGCUAGGGGAGCAAACAGG